Long non-coding RNA from Sceloporus undulatus (fence lizard), 216 nucleotides. RefSeq lists it as uncharacterized. The transcript is spliced from 3 exons. The record is from RefSeq and is a predicted model, not a curated record. NCBI's taxonomy places the organism in Eukaryota, Metazoa, Chordata, Lepidosauria, Squamata, Phrynosomatidae.
AACCAUCGGCCGUGUGACCCAGCAAAGGUUUCCAAACUUGUGAACAAAGUGUAUCACAUGUACAACAGACACCAGCAUCCAUGUGUUGUUCUGAACAUAUGUGUGGACUCAGAGUCUGUUGACAUCAAUGUAACACCCGACAAAAGGCAAAUAUUUCUGCAAGAAGAAAAGUUUUUACUAGCAGUUCUAACAACUUCAAUGAUGGAAAUGUUUGGC